GGACCCGUAGCUCAGCGGUAGAGCAUCUGAUUCCAGCUUCCUUCUCUCAUAAGAGGAUUUGGAUUUCCAAUCAGCAUCCAGAAGGUCAUCCGUUCAAAUCGGGUCGGGUUCA
This is a non-coding RNA of Xylariaceae sp. FL0594, 112 nucleotides long. Lineage: Eukaryota; Fungi; Ascomycota; Sordariomycetes; Xylariales; Xylariaceae. The record is from the annotation of a GenBank genome assembly.